This 82-nucleotide transfer RNA is filed under the name Erwinia phage pEa_SNUABM_8. Its description in RNAcentral is "tRNA-Tyr". It matches the Rfam family "tRNA". Rfam says of the family: Transfer RNA (tRNA) molecules are approximately 80 nucleotides in length. Lineage: Duplodnaviria; Heunggongvirae; Uroviricota; Caudoviricetes; Chimalliviridae. The record is from RNAcentral. RNAcentral also lists the same sequence under 2 other names.
GGGGGAGUGGCGGAGCGGUCGAACGCGGCAGACUGUAAAUCUGUUAUCCCACACGGUGGUUCAAAUCCAUCCUCCCCCACCA